CGGAGCGUAGCGCAGUCUGGUAGCGCACCUGAUUUGGGAUCAGGGGGUCGCAGGUUCGAAUCCUGCCGCUCCGACC
This 76-nucleotide transfer RNA is filed under the name Brucella inopinata. RNAcentral's name for it is "tRNA-Pro". It matches the Rfam family "tRNA". Rfam says of the family: Transfer RNA (tRNA) molecules are approximately 80 nucleotides in length. Their secondary structure includes four short double-helical elements and three loops (D, anti-codon, and T loops). The record is from RNAcentral. Lineage: Bacteria; Pseudomonadati; Pseudomonadota; Alphaproteobacteria; Hyphomicrobiales; Brucellaceae.